Molecule: ribosomal RNA, 192 nt
Filed under: Pseudoalteromonas sp. MSK9-3
Lineage: Bacteria; Pseudomonadati; Pseudomonadota; Gammaproteobacteria; Alteromonadales; Pseudoalteromonadaceae
Description: partial 23S ribosomal RNA
Rfam family: Bacterial large subunit ribosomal RNA
Source: RNAcentral
GGAACUGAUAAGCGCUGAAAGCAUCUAAGCGCGAAGCAGGCCUCGAGAUGAGUUCUCACUAGAGCUAUAAGCUCUCUGAAGGGCCGUUGGAGACUACAACGUUGAUAGGCUGGGUGUGGAAGCAUGGUGACAUGUUAAGCUAACCAGUACUAAUUACCCGUGAGGCUUAACCAUACAACGCCAAAGUGGUUU